AGCACUCGCGCCCUUGGGGGCUAGCGUUUGGCCGGAGCUACACACUCUUUACUCACGCACGCACACCGCCGUACACAGCACAAUCGUUCACCGUCCCGCCAAAGGCUCGUCUCUCGGGUUCUGCCUAGUGGAAGGAGUCGGACAACGCCGCACGUCACGGGCGUUUCGGAUUUCUUGCUUCCCAAAGGUUUGACGGCGGCCACCGGCGCCCCGGCCCAGCUCUGCUUUCCUUUGCUGACUCCUUCCUUUAGGUGUGAAUUUUAAAAUGCUGAUACCGCCCCAAGAGAGCUGAGUCAAGUGAGGCAAACGUUCGCCUGUUGUUCUCCUGACAGACUCCCUGCAGUGGGCAGGGGAAAUGUGGCCUUGGCCGACAUUAAUGAAGUGCCAGGAUGGAGGGAGGGGGCCUGCUGAUUUGUUCUGUUUUACUUUUUAAGGGUAACUAGAGCGUUACUGGAGUCGUCUGUGGGUUUGGGGAGUAUGUGGCGCGUGUGUGUGUCACACAUUUCACUGGCAACUCCCGCCAACCCCUUCCCAAGAAAUGAAGGCUCUAAUGUGGGCAGUUCUGCAACAAAGGUGAAACUUCCCCAAAUCACGAUUCCCCGCAAGAUGAGAGAGCAGGUGCAGCAUCCAUUUUCCCACUAUCACGCUUGAGAUGGUGGCUUUGGGCACUGCCGGGUGCCCCGACAUCCUUCCCAGAGCCCAGCCUUCCCACCCAGGCCCGGCCCUGCGCGGCCGCCUGCCUUUGCAUCAGAGACCGCGGCUGUGCCAUUGCCAAGGUGGGCAGCGCCGCCUCGCUUCCCCAUUCCUCCGUCUCCCACGCCUCUUGCGUGUUUGAGUCGCGAAGUGAUGGACUUUAAAUCUCAGAGGAGGAAUGAGAAACUUGGUUAGUGGCUCUCUUGGCAUGUUCGUAGCCCUGUGGUUGAAGUGGCUGAAACCUGCGUUGAGCCUCAGUCCAAGCAGCUGGGGCCACACCAGUUUGCAAAAGCGGAUGUGGCAGUUUCCACCGCAGCAGCAGCCUGCUGGCGCCUCAUCAGAUUCUCCUUUGGAGGAAGUAUCUUCUUCCCUUCAUUCUCGGUGAAUGGCAUCCAGAGAUAACCAAAAUCAGGUGUAUCUAGUUUCAAGUUCUGUCUUGCAACCGUGAUAAUUGGAGGAUGCAAACUUUACACUUUCUUCUCUAGCUGUCUACCACCACUGCUGCGCUUGUGGAUGACUGCAGGAACACCGGGUACUUGCCACAAGUAUCUCUCCAGAUUCAUCAGCCUUUCACCUGUGACAAGCUCAGUCAAGAAGUGGCUCCUAAGUAAAAGCUGGGGAAGAACAAGGAAGAUAGAGCUCAGAGUAGAAAGCUGUGAAGUUCUGCACAACAGGUCCCCUUGGCCUGCUCUAACAGUUGGAAGGUGGGGGAAGCAUUCAUUUACUCAACAAAUAUAUACUGAGUGCCUUUUGCAUGCUAGGCACGCUUCUAGGGGUUGAGGACACAGCAGAGAGCACAAACAACAAUUCCAGCCCUCGUGGAGCUUACCUCUUCCACGUGGGAAAGACAGAUGGUAAAUGUAUAAGGACAAUAUAUGGACUGCUGUAUGAUUAGAAAUGCUAUGGAGAGGCUAGGAGUGCUGUCUCAUGCCUGUAAUCCCGCAGUUUGGGAGGCCAAAGGAGGAGGAUCACUUGAGGCCAGAAGUUGGAGACCCAACCUGGGCAACAUAACAGGCAUGGUAGCUCAUGUGGAAGCUUCCCGAGGCCCUCACCCAGAAGCAGAUGCUGGAGCCAUGCUUGUACAGCUUGCAGAACUAAAGCCCAGCUGGCUUGGUUCCAUGAAUCUUUGCCCUUCUUUCCAUCCACUUCUUCCUGCUUGGACAUUGGUUACCUGGAGAAGCAGAAGCCAUUUUAAGAUGAUGAAAGCAAAAGUUAAAUGUAUGAGAUGAUGGUGCAGAAAGCCAAAAGGGGCCUCCAGAACACUGAGCUUUGUGGAGUCGUGUACCAUAGCUGUAUUGCCGACCUCUGAACUUCCUGCUGAGAUAAAAAACAAUCCUUAUGUGUUUAUACUACUUUUAUUUCAGUUUCUUUUAAGUAUAGCAAACACAUUCCAAAUAAUAUGCAUCUGAAGUUUUUGGUUUUGUUUUUAAAUUUUUUUUUUAGGGAUGGGUUCUGGCUGCGUAGUGGCUAGAGUGUAGUGGCUA
This 2177-nucleotide long non-coding RNA is filed under the name Homo sapiens (human). Its description in RNAcentral is "HSALNT0322899". The record is from RNAcentral. Lineage: Eukaryota; Metazoa; Chordata; Mammalia; Primates; Hominidae.